UGGUCAAUGAUGUCUUGAGCACUGUGCACUCUGAGUUCUGGGAAGCAGUUGAUGGAGUGUGUUCCUAAGAACAGGCUGAGGCUG
Molecule: non-coding RNA, 84 nt
Organism: Fukomys damarensis (Damara mole-rat)
Lineage: Eukaryota; Metazoa; Chordata; Mammalia; Rodentia; Bathyergidae
Source: Ensembl